RNAcentral lists this ribosomal RNA (441 nucleotides) under uncultured bacterium. RNAcentral's name for it is "partial 16S ribosomal RNA". It matches the Rfam family "Bacterial small subunit ribosomal RNA", at positions 338 to 795 of the family's 1533-position model. The record is from RNAcentral.
CCUACGUGAGGCAGCAGUAGGGAAUUUUGCGCAAUGGGGGAAACCCUGACGCAGCAACGCCGCGUGAUCGAUGAAGCCCUUCGGGGUGUAAAGAUCUGUCAGUGGGGACGAAACCUGACGGUACCUGAGUAAGAAGCCCCGGCUAACUACGUGCCAGCAGCCGCGGUAAUACGUAGGGGGCAAGCGUUAUCCGGAUUUACUGGGUGUAAAGGGAGCGUAGACGGCAGUGCAAGUCUGGAGUGAAAGGCGGGGGCUCAACCCCCGGACUGCUCUGGAAACUGUACGGCUGGAGUGCAGGAGAGGUAAGUGGAAUUCCUAGUGUAGCGGUGAAAUGCGUAGAUAUUAGGAGGAACACCAGUGGCGAAGGCGGCUUACUGGACUGUAACUGACGUUGAGGCUCGAAAGCGUGGGGAGCAAACAGGAUUAGAUACCCCAGUAGUC